This 508-nucleotide ribosomal RNA is filed under the name uncultured bacterium. Its description in RNAcentral is "partial 16S ribosomal RNA". It matches the Rfam family "Bacterial small subunit ribosomal RNA", at positions 28 to 507 of the family's 1533-position model. The record is from RNAcentral.
GACGAACGCUGGCGGCGUGCCUAAUACAUGCAAGUCGAACGCUUCUUUCCUCCCGAGUGCUUGCACUCAAUUGGAAAGAGGAGUGGCGGACGGGUGAGUAACACGUGGGUAACCUACCCAUCAGAGGGGGAUAACAUUUGGAAACAGGUGCUAAUACCGCAUAACAGUUUAUGCCGCAUGGCAUAAGAGUGAAAGGCGCUUUCGGGUGUCGCUGAUGGAUGGACCCGCGGUGCAUUAGCUAGUUGGUGAGGUAACGGCUCACCAAGGCCACGAUGCAUAGCCGACCUGAGAGGGUGAUCGGCCACACUGGGACUGAGACACGGCCCAGACUCCUACGGGAGGCAGCAGUAGGGAAUCUUCGGCAAUGGACGAAAGUCUGACCGAGCAACGCCGCGUGAGUGAAGAAGGUUUUCGGAUCGUAAAACUCUGUUGUUAGAGAAGAACAAGGACGUUAGUAACUGAACGUCCCCUGACGGUAUCUAACCAGAAAGACACGGCUAACUACGUG